Molecule: ribosomal RNA, 433 nt
Filed under: uncultured bacterium
Lineage: Bacteria
Description: partial 16S ribosomal RNA
Rfam family: Bacterial small subunit ribosomal RNA
Source: RNAcentral
AACGAACGCUGGCGGCAGGCCUAACACAUGCAAGUCGAGCGCGCCCUUCGUGGUGAGCGGCGGUUGGGUGAGUAACGCGUGGGAAGGUGCCCGUUUCUACGGAAUAGCCCCGGGAAAUGGAGGGUAAUGCCGGAUAAGCUCCUCUGGGGCAAGAUUUAUCGGAAAAGUAUCGGCCGGGGUUGGUUGAGGUGGCUGGUGGGGAAAGAGCCUACCAAGGCAUCGAUCGAUAGCUGGGUUGAGAGGAAGGUCAGCCACACUGGGACUGUGACACGGCCCAGACUCCUACGGGAUGCAGGCGUGGGGAAUCUAGGCAUAUGGGGUGAAUCCUGAUGUAGCCAGGGUGGGUGAGUGAUGAAGGUCUUAGGGUUGUAAAGCUCUUUAAGCUGGGAAGAUAAUGACGGUACCAGAAGAAGAAGCACCGGCUAACUUCGUG